GCGAAUGGUGGAUGCCUUGACUGGUAAAGGCGAUGAAGGACGUACUAGACUGCGAUAAGCUACGGGGAGCUGUCAAGAAGCUUUGAUCCGUAGAUUUCCGAAUGGGGCAACCCAAUGUAUAGAGAUAUACAUUACCUAUAUAGGAGCGAACGAGGGGAAUUGAAACAUCUUAGUACCCUCAGGAAAAGAAAUCAAUAGAGAUUGCGUCAGUAGCGGCGAGCGAAAGCGCAAGAGGGCAAACCCAGUGCUUGCACUGGGGGUUGUAGGACUGCAAUGUGCAAGAGCUGAGUUUAGCAGAACAUUCUGGAAAGUAUAGCCAUAGAGGGUGAUAGUCCCGUAUGCGAAAAACAAAGCUUAGCUAGCAGUAUCCUGAGUAGGGCGGGACACGAGGAAUCCUGUCUGAAUCCGGGUCGACCACGAUCCAACCCUAAAUACUAAUACCAGAUCGAUAGUGCACAAGUACCGUGAGGGAAAGGUGAAAAGAACUGAGGUGAUCAGAGUGAAAUAGAACCUGAAACCAU
RNAcentral lists this ribosomal RNA (521 nucleotides) under Campylobacter jejuni. Its description in RNAcentral is "partial 23S ribosomal RNA". It matches the Rfam family "Bacterial large subunit ribosomal RNA", at positions 17 to 559 of the family's 2925-position model. Lineage: Bacteria; Pseudomonadati; Campylobacterota; Epsilonproteobacteria; Campylobacterales; Campylobacteraceae. The record is from RNAcentral.